UAACAAGAGGUGUCAAAUGUACAAUGAGAUGUAAAAAAAUAAAAUACAAAAUUAUAGAAUGUAAAAAGUAAAAAUAAAGACAAGCACCACAAAAUUGGCUUUAUCAGUUAUUGCCCCUUAACAUGAGGUAAGUGUCCCAUUUCUCCCAAAGGGCAUCACCCUUCUGUUUCUGAAGCCUCAGUAUAAAAGUUAAGCGCUCCAAGGACUGAAUGCUUUUGACUAUGGUAAGCCACUGGUUAAUAUUCGAGGGAUCUUUAGUGAACCAAUGCUUGGUAAUAGCUUUUUUACUUGCAGCCA
Long non-coding RNA from Thalassophryne amazonica, 297 nucleotides. RefSeq lists it as uncharacterized. NCBI's taxonomy places the organism in Eukaryota, Metazoa, Chordata, Actinopteri, Batrachoidiformes, Batrachoididae. The record is from RefSeq and is a predicted model, not a curated record. The transcript has 2 exons.